Molecule: ribosomal RNA, 329 nt
Filed under: uncultured Lachnospiraceae bacterium
Lineage: Bacteria; Bacillati; Bacillota; Clostridia; Lachnospirales; Lachnospiraceae
Description: partial 16S ribosomal RNA
Source: RNAcentral
GGAGUUUGGGCCGUGUCUCAGUCCCAAUGUGGCCGUUCAACCUCUCAGUCCGGCUAUAGAUCGUUGCUUUGGUGGGCCGUUACCCCGCCAACUGGCUAAUCUAACGCGGGUCCAUCUCAUAGCGAUGAAUCUUUUCCCUCUCUGCCAUGCGGCAGUGUGGGCUUAUGCGGUAUUAGCAAUCGUUUCCAACUGUUAUCCCCCUCUAUGAGGCAGGUUACCCACGCGUUACUCACCCGUCCGCCACUAAGUAUUCCCUUCCCUUUGACGAAUCUCCGUUUAGGGGUACUCCGUUCGACUUGCAUGUGUUAGGCACGCCGCCAGCGUUCAUC